GCUGACCUUAACACCAAAUGCCAAAAAAGUACAAUAACUAAAACUUAAAAGACCUGGCGGUGCCUAAAACCGUCCUAAAGGAGCCUGUUUUAUAAUCGAUAGUCCACGUUAGACCUCACCCGCUUUAGCACAGAUCCAGCCUAUAUACCGCCGUCGACAGCCCAUCUUCCAAGAGAUGGCGCACCAACCGAGAGCCACUCCCAAAACGACAGGUCAAGGUGUAGCUGAUAAGCAGGCAAUAAAUGAGCUACACUACUCAACAGGCACGGAACUCAAUGCUGAAACAGCAUGAAAAAAGAAGGAUUUAGCAGUAAGAGAGAUAAGUGUGUCUCUCUGAACACGACAUUUAGGCAUGC
RNAcentral lists this ribosomal RNA (356 nucleotides) under Pseudotrapelus jensvindumi. RNAcentral's name for it is "partial 12S ribosomal RNA". Lineage: Eukaryota; Metazoa; Chordata; Lepidosauria; Squamata; Agamidae. The record is from RNAcentral.